GCCCGGAUGGCGGAAUCGGUAGACGCGGGGGCCUCAAAAGCCCUUGCCCUUCAGGGCGUGCGGGUUCGAGUCCCGCUCCGGGCA
Molecule: transfer RNA, 84 nt
Filed under: Acidimicrobiales bacterium
Lineage: Bacteria; Bacillati; Actinomycetota; Acidimicrobiia; Acidimicrobiales
Also listed under: 1 other name
Description: tRNA-Leu
Rfam family: tRNA
About the family: Transfer RNA (tRNA) molecules are approximately 80 nucleotides in length. Their secondary structure includes four short double-helical elements and three loops (D, anti-codon, and T loops).
Source: RNAcentral